GACGAACGCUGGCGGCGUGCUUAACACAUGCAAGUCGAACGGUAAGGCCCUUCGGGGUACACAAGUGGCGAACGGGUGAGUAACACGUGGGUGAUCUGCCCUGCACUUCGGGAUAAGCCUGGGAAACUGGGUCUAAUACCGGAUAGGACCACUGCCUGCAUGGGUGGUGGUGGAAAGCUUUUGCGGUGUGGGAUGGGCCCGCGGCCUAUCAGCUUGUUGGUGGGGUGAUGGCCGACCAAGGCGACGACGGGUAGCCGGCCUGAGAGGGUGACCGGCCACACUGGGACUGAGAUACGGCCCAGACUCCUACGGGAGGCAGCAGUGGGGAAUAUUGCACAAUGGGCGCAAGCCUGAUGCAGCGACGCCGCGUGAGGGAUGACGGCCUUCGGGUUGUAAACCUCUUUCAGCACCGACGAAGCGCAAGUGACGGUAGGUGCAGAAGAAGGACCGGCCAACUACGUGCCAGCCGCCGCCGUAA
This 478-nucleotide ribosomal RNA is filed under the name uncultured bacterium. Its description in RNAcentral is "partial 16S ribosomal RNA". It matches the Rfam family "Bacterial small subunit ribosomal RNA", at positions 28 to 523 of the family's 1533-position model. The record is from RNAcentral.